AGAGUUUGAUCCUGGCUCAGAACGUACGCUGGCGGCACGCCUAAUACAUGCAAGUCGAACGAAGUAGCAAUACUUAGUGGCAGACGGGUGAGUAACAUGUAGGUAUCUACCCUUUGGUCUGGAAUAACACGAGGAAACUUGUGCUAAUACCGGAUAAGUCUUUACGGAGAAAGCUUUAUGCACCAUUGGAUGAGCCUGCACUUGAUUAGUUUGUUGGUGGGGUAAUGGCCUACCAAGACAAUGAUCAAUAGCUGAUUUGAGAGGAUGAUCAGCCACAUUGGGACUGAGACACGGCCCAAACUCCUACGGGAGGCAGCAGUAGGGAAUCUUGCACAAUGGAGGAAACUCUGAUGCAACGAUGCCGCGUGAGUGAAGAAGGCCUUUGGGUUGUAAAGCUCUUUCGUCGGGGAAGAAAAUGACUGUACCCGAAUAAGAAGGUCCGGCUAACUUCGUGCCAGCAGCCGCGGUAAUACGAAGGGACCUAGCGUAGUUCGGAAUUACUGGGCUUAAAGAGUUCGUAGGUGGUUAAAAAAGUUGGUGGUGAAAUCCCAGAGCUUAACUCUGGAACUGCCAUCAAAACUUUUUAGCUAGAGUAUGAUAGAGGAAAGCAGAAUUUCUAGUGUAGAGGUGAAAUUCGUAGAUAUUAGAAAGAAUACCGAUUGCGAAGGCAGCUUUCUGGAUCAUUACUGACACUGAGGAACGAAAGCAUGGGUAGCGAAGAGGAUUAGAUACCCUCGUAGUCCAUGCCGUAAACGAUGUGUGUUAGACGUUGGGAAAUUUAUUUUCA
Molecule: ribosomal RNA, 787 nt
Filed under: uncultured Pelagibacterales bacterium
Lineage: Bacteria; Pseudomonadati; Pseudomonadota; Alphaproteobacteria; Candidatus Pelagibacterales
Description: bacterial SSU rRNA
Rfam family: Bacterial small subunit ribosomal RNA
Source: RNAcentral